CUCUGCACUGUCUGCACCACAGAUACAGACCAUAAAGUAGAAGAAGUAGAACGAACAUACCCAGUCAUAGCAAAAUAAUUGAGUGAAUUGAAGUUAUAGUGAGUGAACGGAACGGAGUCUUGAUUCACCUUUAUGCGACAGAAAAACAUGGUGGUUUCUUGGUGAUGACGAAAUGAUGGAUCUGGCGGGGAAAAUAUUGGCAUAAGGAAAUGUACCUCAACAUGUGGAGUAAUGCUGUUGGCUGCUGUGAAUUCCAUUUUCUUCGGUUUUGUCAUCAUGAACUUUUCAGUGUGCUUCUUAGAAAAGAGCACGCAGUUUCUUUGUGGAAUCGUGUGGUCCUGGGACGGAGAUUCCGAGAUUCUUGAGUCAACGCUGGUUUUUGUCCAUGACCAACGUUCUGCUCCAUCCUUAUCUUCCCGACGUAAGCUCAUCCAGCUUCUGCUUCAUCGCUUCGUACACAAAAAUACAAUUUGACUUACUUCACUGACGAGUUGGAACACUUCAGUGGUCGGCCUGGUCGCUUCCGUGCCGCUAUUACACACCUGCAGUCACUCACCACGGGAUUAUGCCCAGGUAAUACAGAGGGGACGUCCAGAAGAGAGACAAUAAAACAUCUCCGUUAUCUCCAAAAUGUCAGCGCGGAUCAUCAUUUGUUGUUGGCAAUAUUUGUGUUUGUUAGUUAACCCGUUGUCUGCCACGCCUUUGU
Long non-coding RNA from Daphnia pulicaria, 706 nucleotides. RefSeq lists it as uncharacterized. Lineage: Eukaryota; Metazoa; Arthropoda; Branchiopoda; Diplostraca; Daphniidae. The record is from RefSeq and is a predicted model, not a curated record. The transcript is spliced from 4 exons.